This is a non-coding RNA of Pantherophis guttatus, 3774 nucleotides long. The record is from RefSeq and is a predicted model, not a curated record. NCBI's taxonomy places the organism in Eukaryota, Metazoa, Chordata, Lepidosauria, Squamata, Colubridae.
AGACAGGCUUUAAAGGUGGCGCGGGAGGCUGCGCGGGAGAGGCGCGCGCGCGCGCCCCCGGCCCAGGGCUGCCCUCUUCUCCCGGGUGCCCGCCCUCUCUCGCCCGGCCGGCCGAGUUUGAACCUAGCGGGGGCCCAGUUUGGAUAAAGGCUUCCCGUCGCCGGCUGCUGGCCUUCGGCUGGUCGCUGUGGGUCAGCCCGCGGUCCCGAGAGGCCUGUUAUUUUUUUUAAGGAAGUGUGUGGGGGGGGGUCGUGUUUUCUAGCGGUCUUCCCGGCGCUGCGGUUGACAAAAGCAGGUGGGUGAGACGGAGGAGGCCCCGCUCUCCCGGCUCUGAUUCUUCAUCCGUGGACCUAGUUAACUGUCUGCCUGUCCCCCCCGCAGGUGGCAGGUUGGUCCAACCCCUCCUGGGAAGGCCGCAGAACAGCCCUUUUCCAGGCAGGAGGCUCUUGUGUCUCUGCGUGGUUCCUGCUUCGGUUUCCAGUUCAGUAUCAGAGCUGGAAAGGGACCUUGGAGGUCAUCUAGUCCGACCCCCCCUGGUCACGCAGGAGGACCUGUGUUACUAGGGAUUCGAACCGCCGAACUGCCAAACCUUUCUGAUCGACAAGCUCUCGGGGUCUUAGCCGCUGAGCCACCUAGUCAGGUGUGAAUUCCCUGCUGAUUCUGCACGGGUUCUAUUGCUUGUAUGUUUCCGGAGAAACCUAAGGGUAGAUUUGUGUAUAGCUUCUUUUGUUUUGGUCAUAAGGGUUUUGUUUCUCUUAAGCUAUGAUUGGUGGCUUAGCAUGGGGUGAACCCAGAAAACUAGUCUCUCUCUUGCCCUAAACCAGGUGUCAGCAACCUGCGGCUCCGGAGCCGCAUGCAGCUCUUUAGGCCCUCUGCUGUGGCUCCCUGUUGGGUGAUCCCACCACUGGCUGGCACUGCCUCUCAUCCUCCCCUCCCAGUCACUCCUUGCCUGGCCUGAGAAGGAUGUGCCUAAGAUGUUCUCGCUACAAGGAAGCCAGAAGGAAGCUACAUGUCACUUGGCCCUCCCUUCCCCCCUCUUUGCAUGUCUGGAUCCAGUCCUAGCAGAUGGAAGAAAGGAGAGAGUUCCAGUUACAUUUUUGCUUGCCACAGAGUCCUUCUUUCUUUAAUGGGGAUACCUUGUUUCAAUCUGUAGAAACAGAUCCCAGAGAGGAUACACUGGGGAAGAAGCUCAUCAGAAUGUCUUUUUGUAGUAGAUCCAGGUGUUCCUUUUACACCUAAGUAGAGACAUGUGCAUCACUUGGAAGUGUGGGUCACCCAUACUUACUAAGCUUUUGGGUUUCAUCUGUUGGACUCCUGUUAGUCUUUUGACAAAUGCUACAUUAGAUGACGAUUUCUAGUGGUGUCAAGUGGUGGACGAUUUUUUCCUUUCAGGAUCAGCCAUCAACAUUAAAGGAACCAGCAGGUAAGAAAUACCACAAACUAGCAUUUGAUAGAGCAGUAAGUAGACCUUGAAAAAAUAUAUAUAUUCAGGUAUAAAGACGGGUCUCUACAUACAGUAGUGGCCAAAAUUGUGGAAACCUUUUGGGAAAAGUGUAUUUUCUAAAACUAGCUAAUAACAUCAUUUUUUUUUUAGUAGUAAAAUUAUAUAUCAAUGGAAAGAUAAUUUAAUCAAGAAUGGAAUGCAAUAACUUUUAGGAAGGAUUUGCUAUUAGAAUAGCAGUUACCAUAUAAAGAAGAAAAGCGAAACAAGUAGAAAAAAAUGAGAAAAUUAUCACCAUAAAAAAAAUGAGCUAUACAAAAAUUAUCACCAUAGAAAAAAAAUGAGAUAUACAAAAAUGAUCACCAUGUCAGUUAAUACUUAGUUGGGGUAACCUUUAGCAUGAAUGACGGCCUUACAACAUCUUCCCGUGGAGUGAACCAAGUCUUUUAGUUCUGCAGCUGUUCUAAUGUGAAACCAAGAUUGAAUGAUGGCUUCUAUUAACUGGGUUUUAUUGCUGGGUUGCUUCUGACUAACAAGUUUUUUUAGUCGGCUCCAUAGAUUUUCAUUUAGGUUAAGAUCUGGGCUAUUCCCAGGCCAUUCCAGCAGUGGAAUAGGAUUAUCUUGAAACUCCAAAAAAAAAAAAAAAAAGUGGUGUUAUUAGCCAUCAAACCUCAAAAAUACACUUUUCCCAAAAGUUUUCCACAAUUUUUGCCACUACUGUACCGUAUAACAAGCAGGACAGUGUAGAGAAUGGUGUUCCCUGAUGGCACUCUAUGGAAGCAAAACUUGGACAUUAAAGAAGGGACAGGAAGGAUAUUGUGGCUUUUGAACAUUGGUGUUGGAGAAUAUUGUGGGCAGCCAAUGGAUCACUGGACCAAUCAAUUCAGAGUUCCCACUAGAGGCACAAAUGGCUCAAAUUAUCCUAUUUUGGACACAUAAUGCAAAGAUCUAGCUCUUUGGAGAAUGCUUUGGUGCUGGAAAUGGAAGAAAGAAGAAAUGGACAACCAGCAAGUGGAUGGUAUCAAUUAUGGAAGUGAUGGAAGCACCAUUAGAAGAUCUAAAGGAUCAGGUUGCCAAGGGAUCCUUCUGUCUGCAGUUGCUAGGAUUCUACAUCAACGCAAUGGCACAUAAAUCAAAAUCUAUAUAGCAUUGGGGAAAUACAAUAUAUAGAUAGUCCUUGACCAGGGCCGGAUUUAGAUGAAAAGAGGCCCUAGGCUAUUCCACUUAUGAGGCCCUUUCACCUAUAGUGAAAAUGUAAUUUUAAUUUUGCUAACAAUUUGAAUGUAGGCCCCUCUUGAUCUUGAGGCCCUAGGCUGAAGCCUAGUUAGCCUAUAGGAAAAUCCGGCCCUGUCCUUGACUUAUUACCAUAAUUGAGCCCAGAAUUACAGUCAUAAGUCAUGUUGGUAGGUAAGUAGAUCACUGUAAAUGGAUUACUGCGCCUGAUUUUACAACUGUGUUUGUGGUGAUUGUGAAGCGAAUGCUAUAGUAUUAAGUGAACUCAUCGAACUCAAUGGGCAUUUUUUGCUAGAAACCAGAAGUAAAUGCAAAUUUUUUUCCCCCCGGCAAAAAUUGUUCUCAAUCAUGUGACCAGAUCUGUGAAUGGAUCUAAACGUGGGCCAGUGGCCAAAUGCCCCAAAUUCGUUCACAUGUGGGGGCUGGGUGUGGUAGCUAGCCAUCAGAACUUCAAAACAUGGUCUUAAAAAGUUCUGGGGAAAUCAGCCAUAACUUUAAAUCGGUCAUACGUUGAGGACUAUAACUUAACACAUUCUUCAAGUGAAUAGGAAAAUGUCGAAAAGCCCAGUGUGUUUCUAAUGUGCCCAAUGACUCAUUCAAAAUACGUUGCAUUUGGAAUGGAGAUUAGCGCCAUACAAUGGACCAGCUUGAUAAACUGAUAUGGGCACCUUACUGUCUUUCCAAGGCCACCUAAGGGAAUUAAGUAACCAUUUGCAGUAUCAUGUGACUGUCAACAUAUUUUGCUGGUUUCCAACGUUUACUUCCGGUUUCUGGGGAAAAAGGAGCCCUUUGGGUAAAAUGGAUUUGCUUAAACUUAUAACCACAAUGACUUAAUGACUGUAAUUCUGGGCGCAGCAAGCAGUCGUAAGUUGAGGACAUGUACAGAGACUGGUAAGGCCAUUAGAAAGCUGGAUUUUUAAAGGAUUUCCGUACUUGGACUUGCAAACAUUUGGGUGACUGCUAGAGGGCAGGAAGAGAAUUGGGGUUCAUGUGGCUCUACACUGCCCCCUCAAGGUCAUCCCAGCCCUUGCAGCCAGUCAUUUAGGGCAGCCCUUUGAAGAGGCUGAUUAUUUUCAAAUAAACUAACAAUGAUUUCUCCA